This 774-nucleotide ribosomal RNA is filed under the name uncultured Neocallimastigales. RNAcentral describes it as "partial large subunit ribosomal RNA". It matches the Rfam family "Eukaryotic large subunit ribosomal RNA", at positions 26 to 643 of the family's 3401-position model. The record is from RNAcentral. Lineage: Eukaryota; Fungi; Neocallimastigomycota; Neocallimastigomycetes; Neocallimastigales.
CGCAUCUGUGCAUGCAGCAUAUCAAUAAGCGGAGGAAAAGAAACUAACAAGGAUUCCCCUAGUAACGGCGAGUGAAGCGGGAAGAGCUCAAAUUUGAAAUCUUAAAGGGUUUCCCUUUACGAAUUGUAGUUUAAAGAAGUGUUUUCUGUUGAGGUUUUGGUAAAAGUUCUUUGGAAUAGGACAUCAUAGAGGGUGAGAAUCCCGUAUUUGACCUUUACUUUCAACUUUGUGAUACACUUUCAAAGAGUCGGAUUGUUUGGGAAUGCAGUCCAAAAUGGGUGGUAAAUUUCAUCUAAAGCUAAAUAUUGGCGAGAGACCGAUAGCGAACAAGUACCGUGAGGGAAAGAUGAAAAGAACUUUGAAAAGAGAGUUAAACAGUACGUGAAAUUGUCAAAAGGGAAGCGUUUGACACCAGUGUUGUUUUUCUGAAAAUCAAUUAAAGAACUGUUUAUGCUAAGUUGUUUAGACUUUAUCAGCUAACUGUUUAGUUUUGAGCUUUUCUUUAAUGCACUUUUCAGUUAACAAGUCAACAUCAAUUUCUUUUGCUGUAAAAAAGCUUGAGGAAGGUGGCUUGAGAUUCGUCUUAAGUGUUUAUAGCCUCUUGCCUAUGCAGUCGGAGAGAUUGAGGUCUGCAGCGUAGAUCCUUCGGGGCUAAAUGCAUUUGUGCUAAGUUAUAGCAUUUUAUAGACAACUUGUUGACUAUGAUUUGUCUUGUAGCUUACUCGCUUAUGUUAUUUUACCUACGCUUAGGAUGUUGACACACGCGCGUGCUCG